GUUGGUGCUCUGUUGAAGCAAUAUAUGAAUGUAGUUUGGAAAACUGCAUGUGGUAUGUUGUUCUAGUCCGUGAUGGUGACUGGUACAUAUCUGAAGGAUCGCUGUAACAAAUUUUUGAUGCUAUUGUCUUGAUGAGCUGAAUGGUCACGUAUAUAAUUUUUAAACAUCUUUUGCUUAUCCACUGUUGAUCCGUAGUUAGUUGCUGAACUUCUUUCUUGUCAAUCUUGUUUUUCC
Molecule: long non-coding RNA, 234 nt
Filed under: Mytilus galloprovincialis (Mediterranean mussel)
Lineage: Eukaryota; Metazoa; Mollusca; Bivalvia; Mytilida; Mytilidae
Source: RNAcentral